RNAcentral lists this ribosomal RNA (458 nucleotides) under uncultured bacterium. Its description in RNAcentral is "bacterial LSU rRNA". It matches the Rfam family "Bacterial large subunit ribosomal RNA", at positions 723 to 1180 of the family's 2925-position model. The record is from RNAcentral.
GGAUGAUCUAUCCAUGGCCAGGAUGAAGGUGCCGUAACAGGUACUGGAGGUCCGAACCCACUAAUUUGAAAAAUUAGGGGAUGAGCUGUGGAUAGGGGUGAAAGGCUAAACAAAUCCGGAAAUAGCUGGUUCUCCCCGAAAACUAUUUAGGUAGUGCGUCUUGUAUCACUGACGGGGGUAAAGCACUGUUAUGGCUAGGGGGUCAUCGCGACUUACCAAACCAUGGCAAACUCUGAAUACCGUCAAGUGCGAGCAAGGCAGACAGACAGUGGGUGCUAACGUCCAUUGUCAAGAGGGAAACAACCCAGACCGCCAGCUAAGGUCCCCAAGACACAGUUAAGUGGGAAACGAGGUGGGAAGGCAUAGACAGCUAGGAGGUUGGCUUAGAAGCAGCCAUCCUUUAAAGAAAGCGUAAUAGCUCACUAGUCGAGUCGUCCUGCGCGGAAGAUGUAACGGGG